CAGAGGUGCCAAGCGUUAGGCGGAAUCACUGGGCUUAAAGCGCGUGUAGGUGGGUCGUUAAGUGUCCGCGUGAAAUCCCACGGCUCAACCGUGGAACUGCCGGGCAUACUGGCGAUCUUGAGGCAUUCAGGGGCGAGCGGAACAAGUGGUGGAGCGGUGGAAAUGCGUAGAUAUCACUUGGAACGCCAAUGGUGAAAACAGCUCGCUGGGAAUGAUCUGACACUGAGACGCGAAAGCCAGGGGAGCGAACGGGAUUAGAUACCCCGGUAGUCCUGGCCCUAAACGAUGUCCACUAGAUCGUGGCACCUCUGACGGUGUCAUGGUCGGAGCAAAAGUGUUAAGUGGACCGCCUGGGAAGUACGGUCGCAAGGCUA
This 374-nucleotide ribosomal RNA is filed under the name uncultured organism. Its description in RNAcentral is "bacterial SSU rRNA". It matches the Rfam family "Bacterial small subunit ribosomal RNA", at positions 526 to 896 of the family's 1533-position model. The record is from RNAcentral.